Molecule: ribosomal RNA, 250 nt
Filed under: uncultured prokaryote
Description: partial 16S ribosomal RNA
Rfam family: Bacterial small subunit ribosomal RNA
Source: RNAcentral
UACGUAGGGGGCGAGCGUUAUCCGGAUUUAUUGGGCGUAAAGCGUGCGUAGGCGGUUUAUUAAGUCCGAAAUAAAAGCCCGAGGCUUAACCUCGGUUCGUUUCGGAUACUGGUAGACUAGAGUAUGGUAGAGGCAAACGGAAUUCCUAGUGUAGCGGUGAAAUGCGUAGAUAUUAGGAGGAACACCAGUGGCGAAGGCGGUUUGCUGGGCCAUCACUGACGCUGAGGUACGAAAGCGUGGGUAGCAAAUA